AGGAGCCGUGUGAUGUGAAAAUGUCACGCACGGUUCUGAAGACGAGUCAGUGGGGUGAUUCACUGGCUUAGUUUAAU
Molecule: non-coding RNA, 77 nt
Organism: Lyngbya majuscula
Lineage: Bacteria; Bacillati; Cyanobacteriota; Cyanophyceae; Oscillatoriales; Microcoleaceae
Source: Rfam